CAGUAGCCGCGGUAAUACGAAGGGUGCAAGCGUUACUCGGAAUUACUGGGCGUAAAGCGUGUGUAGGUGGUUGUUUAAGUCUGUCGUGAAAGCCCUGGGCUUAACCUGGGAAUUGCGAUGGAUACUGGGCGACUAGAGUGCGGUAGAGGAUAGUGGAAUUUCCGGUGUAGCAGUGAAAUGCGUAGAGAUCGGAAGGAACAUCUGUGGCGAAGGCGACUAUCUGGGCCAACACUGACACUGAGACACGAAAGCGUGGGGAGCAAACAGGAUUAGAUACCCGUGUAGUCCCUGUCUCUUAUAC
This 301-nucleotide ribosomal RNA is filed under the name uncultured bacterium. RNAcentral's name for it is "partial 16S ribosomal RNA". It matches the Rfam family "Bacterial small subunit ribosomal RNA", at positions 509 to 807 of the family's 1533-position model. The record is from RNAcentral.